Molecule: ribosomal RNA, 628 nt
Filed under: Citrobacter freundii
Lineage: Bacteria; Pseudomonadati; Pseudomonadota; Gammaproteobacteria; Enterobacterales; Enterobacteriaceae
Description: partial 23S ribosomal RNA
Rfam family: Bacterial large subunit ribosomal RNA
Source: RNAcentral
UGUAUAAUGGGUCAGCGACUUAUAUUCUGUAGCAAGGUUAACCGAAUAGGGGAGCCGAAGGGAAACCGAGUCUUAACUGGGCGUUAAGUUGCAGGGUAUAGACCCGAAACCCGGUGAUCUAGCCAUGGGCAGGUUGAAGGUUGGGUAACACUAACUGGAGGACCGAACCGACUAAUGUUGAAAAAUUAGCGGAUGACUUGUGGCUGGGGGUGAAAGGCCAAUCAAACCGGGAGAUAGCUGGUUCUCCCCGAAAGCUAUUUAGGUAGCGCCUCGUGAAUUCAUCUUCGGGGGUAGAGCACUGUUUCGGCUAGGGGGUCAUCCCGACUUACCAACCCGAUGCAAACUGCGAAUACCGAAGAAUGUUAUCACGGGAGACACACGGCGGGUGCUAACGUCCGUCGUGAAGAGGGAAACAACCCAGACCGCCAGCUAAGGUCCCAAAGUCAUGGUUAAGUGGGAAACGAUGUGGGAAGGCACAGACAGCCAGGAUGUUGGCUUAGAAGCAGCCAUCAUUUAAAGAAAGCGUAAUAGCUCACUGGUCGAGUCGGCCUGCGCGGAAGAUGUAACGGGGCUAAACCAUGCACCGAAGCUGCGGCAGCGACACUAUGUGUUGUUGGGUAGGGGAGCG